GACGAACGCUGGCGGCGUGCCUAAUACAUGCAAGUAGAACGCAGUUGCGAGCGGGUGAGUAACGCGUAGGUAACUGUAUGGUAGAGGGGGAUAACUAUUGGAAAAGAUAGCUCAUACCGCAUACUACCAGAUGGACCUGCGUUGUAUUAGGUAGUUGGUGGGGUAACGGCCCACCAAGGCAACCAUACAUAGCCGACCUUGGAAGGGGGUCGGCCACACUGGGACUGAGACACGGGCCCGAAUCCUACGGGAGGCAGCAGUAGGGGAUCCUCGGGAAUGGGGGGAACCCUGACCCAGCAACGCCGCGUGAGUGAAGGAGGGUUUCGGAUCGGUAAGCUCUGGUGUUAAGGGAGCGGUACUUAACCAGAAAGGGACGGCUAACUACGUGCCAGCAGCCGCGGUAAUUC
RNAcentral lists this ribosomal RNA (407 nucleotides) under uncultured bacterium. RNAcentral describes it as "partial 16S ribosomal RNA". It matches the Rfam family "Bacterial small subunit ribosomal RNA", at positions 28 to 526 of the family's 1533-position model. The record is from RNAcentral.